UUAUAAGAGACAGCAGUCGCCACGGUAAUACGUAGGUGGCAAGCGUUGUCCGGAAUUAUUGGGCGUAAAGGGCUCGCAGGCGGUUUCUUAAGUCUGAUGUGAAAGCCCCCGGCUCAACCGGGGAGGGUCAUUGGAAACUGGGAAACUUGAGUGCAGAAGAGGAGAGUGGAAUUCCACGUGUAGCGGUGAAAUGCGUAGAGAUGUGGAGGAACACCAGUGGCGAAGGCGACUCUCUGGUCUGUAACUGACGCUGAGGAGCGAAAGCGUGGGGAGCGAACAGGAUUAGAUACCCGGGUAGUCCCUGUCUCUUAUAC
RNAcentral lists this ribosomal RNA (314 nucleotides) under uncultured bacterium. RNAcentral's name for it is "partial 16S ribosomal RNA". It matches the Rfam family "Bacterial small subunit ribosomal RNA", at positions 499 to 807 of the family's 1533-position model. The record is from RNAcentral.